UAAACAUAUGCUUGUCUCAAAGACUAAGCCAUGCAUGUCUAAGUUCAACAUUCUAUCGCAAAACUGCGUACAGCUCAUUACAGCAGCAAGAAUUUAUUUGAUGGUUUACUACUUGGAUAACCGUGGUAAUUCUAGAGCUAAUACAUGCUACGAAGUCCUGACUCUUAAUCUGGGAAGGGAUGUAUUUAUUAGAACCAAAAACCAACGGGUUGGCCCUUAAAGCCAGCCAGGACUUCGGUCCACAACUUUGGUGAAUCAUAGUAACUGAACGGAUCGCACAGCUUCUCGCUGGCGACGGUUCAUUCAAAUUUCUGCCCUAUCAGCUUUCGAUGGUAGCGUCUGGGUCUACCAUGGCUAUUACGGGUAACGGAGAAUUAGGGUUCGAUUCCGGAGAGGGAGCCUGAGAAAUGGCUACCACAUCCAAGGAAGGCAGCAGGCGCGCAAAUUACCCACUCCUGACACAGGGAGGUAGUGACAAGAAAUAACAAUACCGGGCCUUUCAGGCCUGGUAAUUGGAAUGAGUACAAUUUAAAUCCCUUAACGANGAUCCACUG
RNAcentral lists this ribosomal RNA (554 nucleotides) under uncultured Rhizaria. Its description in RNAcentral is "bacterial SSU rRNA". It matches the Rfam family "Eukaryotic small subunit ribosomal RNA", at positions 21 to 550 of the family's 1831-position model. The record is from RNAcentral.